CGAGGCACUGCAAUAAAACAAAAGCGCACUCGAAGGCACAGAGAGACGGACAGAAAGACAGAGACUCGCAGCAGCUGGAUAAGGCCAAAGGGGUCUAGCACCGGAGACCGGUUACCGGAGAUAGCGAGCCUCCGUACUUUUUACAGACCGGAACAUAACCUGCCAUGGGGAUAGAAGUUACAGAUAUUUGUUUGGACAAGGAGCCAGAUUGUGUCAUAGUUUAUGCAAAUGGUGUUUCCCAUGAUUCAGAUCAUGAACCUGAUCCCAAUCAUCAUGGUGGGCAAGAGUCAUAUGAGCCUAUUAACGAGGGUCCUGAAAUCCAAAGUACAGAAGAGAGUACUGAAGCAAAGGAAUAUGAUGUGAAGGAAUGUACCACUGAAAACUCAGUAGAGGUUUCUGAAUUCUGUCAUAAUGAGAAAUAUAAGGAAGAGCAGAAUGUAGUAAACUCACAUGUCAAAGCUGGUCUGCAUAAGGAAAGUGUAAAAUCAGAAACCCAGAAGAAAAAGGACAACAAUAAGUCACAAAUUUCUGUCAAGCAAGCAUCCAGAUCUGUUGCUGCAAAUGCUCGAACAAAACACACUGUUCCACAGCCAUUUUCCCUAGCAACUGAAAAGCGUGCCUCAUAUGGACUUUCUUCUGGUGGUGCACAACCUGAUUUUGGCACCCGUCUGAAUAAAUUGUCUAAUGCAAACACUGUGAGACAUCCAAAUAUCAUAAAGCUCAAUCAGCAAAUAUCAGAACUGGUACCGAGGAAGCCACUGCAACCUAAUAACAAGAAGCAUCCUGAUGAAGAAGAUUCUUGUUCUGUUGCUUCCUCCACUGCAAGAUCUGCAAGGGCAAUUAAGUCCAAGCCAACUGUUGCAUCAGCUCCAACAUUUAGAUGCAUGGAGCGUGCUGAGAAGCGGAAGGAGUUUUAUUCAAAAUUAGAGGAGAAACACCAAGCAUUGGAAGCUGAGAAAAACCAAAGUGAAGAGAGGACAAAGGAAGAGAAAGAUGCAGCUAUUAGACAACUGAGGAAGAGCUUAAUGUUCAAGGCAAACCCAAUGCCAAGCUUCUACCUUGAGGGACCUCCACCUAAGGCUGAACUUAAGAAGCUGCCACCAACUCGUGCAAAAUCACCAAAGCUUGGCCGAAGGAAGAGCUGCAGUAAUGCAGUCAGUUCAUCCCAUGAACAAAAAGUGAAAGGAGCUUGUGCUUGGGAAAAUCGUCGGAGCCUUGGUAUUUACAAAGAAGAGACCACCACCAAUGGCCCCAAUAAUUUUAGGAAGCAGAGCAACUUCCAGAAUGGUAAUGCCACUUGGAAAUUCAAUGAUGAACAGAAAGAAAUGGAAGAUAUAAGCGAAUCAAAUGCGACCAUGGUAAAUGGUCAGGGGGAUGUGGACUACGACGUCCAUUCUUGAGUUUCUGAUUCUUUUCUGGAAGACCAUUUUACUUGGUAGUGUGGGAGGAGCAUAGAGUUAAGCCUAAGGGACCCGUUAAGUUGUUCUUUGCUGUGUUGGAAAUCCAUCUUUUGCGUGAUUAUGGUGAGCCUCAUUAUGAAAAGCUCAUAAAGCGAAAGCUAAAAAAAGGACACUAUGGAGCGUAAAGCACGUCGUUUCAAAGCUUCUUAGAUAUCACGCAGUAGCAAAGAUGACUUUUCUGAGCUCACCAUACCCCGUUUAUGGGAGCAAAACUUGCUGAGAAAAAUGAGUUUGGAAAUCACAGAAAUUUUUUUCUGAUCUACGAAUUAACGGGGGCAAGCUUAGCGAACAUCCAUCCCAAUAUACUCACCAACUAUGAACAUCGCCUAUCUGGACUACGAAGUACAAACCCAUCGGUUCAAGUUCAUCCCUUGUCAAAUUGCAAUAAUUUUGUGCUCAUACGGCCGUGCAUGGCCUGAGUGGCAUUCUACGUCGGCUUGGUCAACCUUCUUCUUGGCAUGCUGCGAUGUCGGGCAAAUUGUCGGCAUUAACCGUUGACUAAGCUGGCGUGACGAUGCCAUGUCUGUAUUAUUUAUGUCACGAGUAAUCCGUGCAGAUAAUAGUGCUCUUAAAAAUUUAAUUUGUUUCAAGAAUGGUUAUUCA
RNA transcript from Carya illinoinensis, 2063 nucleotides. It is a transcript of the gene named protein WVD2-like 3, with no coding region annotated. The record is from RefSeq and is a predicted model, not a curated record. The transcript is spliced from 9 exons. Lineage: Eukaryota; Viridiplantae; Streptophyta; Magnoliopsida; Fagales; Juglandaceae.